CAACCCUCAAGCACGGCUUGUGUUAUGGGCCGUCGUCCCCUACUCGCUAGGUGGACGCGUCCGAAAUGCAGUGACGGUAGCCGCGACUCCGGUGCCCGAGUGAAUGGAGGAUAAUACCACCGCUCGUUUGGCCCGGCCGGCUCCGGUCGAAAUCAUUUAUUUCUUA
This 166-nucleotide unclassified non-coding RNA is filed under the name Albidomyces albicans. Its description in RNAcentral is "Amauroascus albicans partial internal transcribed spacer 2". Lineage: Eukaryota; Fungi; Ascomycota; Eurotiomycetes; Onygenales; Neoarthropsidaceae. The record is from RNAcentral.